UAGGGAAUCUUCCACAAUGGACGCAAGUCUGAUGGAGCAACGCCGCGUGAGUGAAGAAGGUCUUCGGAUCGUAAAACUCUGUUGUUAGAGAAGAACAUGAGUGAGAGUAACUGUUCAUUCGAUGACGGUAUCUAACCAGCAAGUCACGGCUAACUACGUGCCAG
RNAcentral lists this ribosomal RNA (164 nucleotides) under uncultured bacterium. RNAcentral describes it as "partial 16S rRNA". It matches the Rfam family "Bacterial small subunit ribosomal RNA", at positions 355 to 511 of the family's 1533-position model. The record is from RNAcentral.